Molecule: ribosomal RNA, 785 nt
Filed under: uncultured organism
Description: bacterial SSU rRNA
Rfam family: Bacterial small subunit ribosomal RNA
Source: RNAcentral
CGGGAUGAUCAGUCUGAGGUGAAUCUUUGGGGUACCCCGUAAGCUUGCCUUGGAUACGGUCAUUCGUGCGUUCGGAAGAGGGAAGUGGAAUUCCUGGUGUACCGGUGAAACGCGUAGAUAUCAGGAAGAACACCGGUGGCGAAGUCGGCUUCCUGGUCCGAUACUGACGCUGAGGCGCGAAAGCGUGGGGAACGAACAGGAUUAGAUACCCUGGUAGUCCACGCUGUAAACGAUGGGUACUAGGUGUUGGUCCUUUUUAGGAUCAGCGCCGCAGCUAACGCAUUAAGUACCCCGCCUGGGGAAUACGACCGCAAGGUUGAAACUCAAAGGAAUUGACGGGGGCCCGCACAAGCGGUGGAGCAUGUGGUUUAAUUCGAUGCUACGCGAAGAACCUUACCUGGGCUUGAACCGUACUCGAAAACCCCUGAAAAGGGGUCCUCCUUCGGGACGGAUAUAGAGGUGCUGCAUGCCUGUCGUCAGCUCGUGCCGUGAGGUGUUGGGUUAAGUCCCGCAACGAGCGCAACCCUUGCCCUUAGUUGCCAUCAGGUUAUGCUGGGAACUCUAAGGGGACUGCCCCGGAUAACGGGGAGGAAGCUGGGGAUGACGUCAAGUCCUCAUGGCCCUUACGUCCAGGGUUACAUACGUGCUACGAUGGCCGGUACUAUGGGCAGCGAUACCGCAAGGUGGAGCAAAUCCUUAAGACCGGUGUCAGUUCAGAUUGCAGUCUGCAACUCGAUUGCAUGAAGUCGGAACCGCUAGUAAUCACGGAUCAGCAUGCCCCGGUG